GUCUUCGUGGUGUAGUGGUCAGCACGCUCGACGUGUAACCUAGAGGUCCUUGGUUCGAGUCCCGGCGAAGGCU
This 73-nucleotide transfer RNA is filed under the name Stegodyphus mimosarum. It matches the Rfam family "tRNA". From Rfam's summary of the family: Transfer RNA (tRNA) molecules are approximately 80 nucleotides in length. Their secondary structure includes four short double-helical elements and three loops (D, anti-codon, and T loops). Further hydrogen bonds mediate the characteristic L-shaped molecular structure. tRNAs have two regions of fundamental functional importance: the anti-codon, which is responsible for specific mRNA codon recognition, and the 3' end, to which the tRNAs corresponding amino acid is attached (by aminoacyl-tRNA synthetases). tRNAs cope with the degeneracy of the genetic code in two manners: having more than one tRNA (with a specific anti-codon) for a particular amino acid; and 'wobble' base-pairing, i.e. permitting non-standard base-pairing at the 3rd anti-codon position. Lineage: Eukaryota; Metazoa; Arthropoda; Arachnida; Araneae; Eresidae. The record is from Rfam by way of RNAcentral.